Hippocampus comes (tiger tail seahorse) is the source of this 443-nucleotide long non-coding RNA. RefSeq lists it as uncharacterized. The record is from RefSeq and is a predicted model, not a curated record. Lineage: Eukaryota; Metazoa; Chordata; Actinopteri; Syngnathiformes; Syngnathidae. The transcript has 2 exons.
GCUCUCUGUCGACAGCUUUCCGUGAUGCAGAGUAUUCACAAUCGCAGGCUUGACCGCAGUCCAGGAUUGGGGAGCGAGGAGGGAUCGACACUCUUGACUAAAUUCUCCUGAAUUUGUUGUUAACAUGUUCAAACCUCCACUCGGAGCGUCCACCAUCAUCUCGCUGGACCAAAACAUCUUUCGUUGAAGCUUCGUGUCCGAUUAAAGUCGUCUCGGUGUUCGUUGGUGUUUCUCGGCCCAGUUUAGCUUCGUGUGAACAAUGUGCGCAAGGACAUCAGAAUACGAGGAGGAACUUUGUGGAGAAAAAGAGGACCACAAGGGACAACGUCAACUGCUGGACGCCAUUGGCAGGAUGCAGCCAAGAGUUGUUCUUCACAGAUUAGGUUUGGUCACAACGUUCGUCUCACUUGUCUCGUCUUCUUUUUAAAAGCCUUCAACUGCUG